GACGAACGCUGGCGGCGUGCUUAACACAUGCGAGUCGAACGGAAAGGCCCUGCUUUUGUGGGGUGCUCGAGUGGCGAACGGGUGAGUAACACGUGAGUAACCUGCCCUUGACUUUGGGAUAACUUCAGGAAACUGGGGCUAAUACCGGAUAGGAGCUCCUGCUGCAUGGUGGGGGUUGGAAAGUUUCGGCGGUUGGGGAUGGACUCGCGGCUUAUCAGCUUGUUGGUGGGGUAGUGGCUUACCAAGGCUUUGACGGGUAGCCGGCCUGAGAGGGUGACCGGCCACAUUGGGACUGAGAUACGGCCCAGACUCCUACGGGAGGCAGCAGUGGGGAAUAUUGCACAAUGGGCGGAAGCCUGAUGCAGCAACGCCGCGUGCGGGAUGACGGCCUUCGGGUCGUAAACCGCUUUCGCCUGUGACGAAGCGUGAGUGACGGUAAUGGGUAAAGAAGCACCGGCUAACUACGUG
Molecule: ribosomal RNA, 468 nt
Filed under: uncultured bacterium
Lineage: Bacteria
Description: partial 16S ribosomal RNA
Rfam family: Bacterial small subunit ribosomal RNA
Source: RNAcentral